Molecule: ribosomal RNA, 502 nt
Filed under: uncultured bacterium
Lineage: Bacteria
Description: bacterial SSU rRNA
Rfam family: Bacterial small subunit ribosomal RNA
Source: RNAcentral
AGCGGCAGACGGGUGAGUAACGCGUGGGAACGUACCUUUUGGUUCGGAACAACACAGGGAAACUUGUGCUAAUACCGGAUAAGCCCUUACGGGGAAAGAUUUAUCGCCGAAAGAUCGGCCCGCGUCUGAAUUACUUAUUUGGUGAGGUAAUGGCUCACCAAGGCGACAAUCAGUAGCUGGUCUGAGAGGAUGAUCAGCCACAUUGGGACUGAGACACGGCCCAAACUCCUACGGGAGGCAGCAGUGGGGAAUAUUGGACAAUGGGCGCAAGCCUGAUCCAGCCAUGCCGCGUGAGUGAUGAAGGCCCUAGGGUUGUAAAGCUCUUUUGUGCGGGAAGAUAAUGACGGUACCGCAAGAAUAAGCCCCGGCUAACUUCGUGCCAGCAGCCGCGGUAAUACGAAGGGGGCUAGCGUUGCUCGGAAUCACUGGGCGUAAAGGGUGCGUAGGCGGGUCUUUAAGUCAGGGGUGAAAUCCUGGAGCUCAACUCCAGAACUGCCUUUGA